This 250-nucleotide ribosomal RNA is filed under the name uncultured bacterium. Its description in RNAcentral is "partial 16S ribosomal RNA". It matches the Rfam family "Bacterial small subunit ribosomal RNA", at positions 524 to 773 of the family's 1533-position model. The record is from RNAcentral.
GACGGAGGAGGCUAGCGUUGUUCGGAAUUACUGGGCGUAAAGCGCACGCAGGCGGCGGGUCAAGUCGGAUGUGAAAGCCCGGGGCUUAACCCCGGAUGGGCGUCCGGGACUGACUUGCUGGAGUUAGGGAGAGGAGAGCGGAAUUCCCAGUGUAGAGGUGAAAUUCGUAGAUAUUGGGAAGAACACCGGUGGCGAAGGCGGCUCUCUGGCCCUUGACUGACGCUCAUGUGCGAAAGCGUGGGGAGCAAAC